GGCGAGAUGGCCGAGUGGUCUAAGGCGCUAGUUUCAGGAGGUGGUUCUUCGGAAUCAACAUCCAUUACUAGUCAGAAAUGGCGAGGGUUCGAAUCCCUCUCUCGUCA
Molecule: transfer RNA, 107 nt
Filed under: Plectosphaerella cucumerina
Lineage: Eukaryota; Fungi; Ascomycota; Sordariomycetes; Glomerellales; Plectosphaerellaceae
Rfam family: tRNA
About the family: Transfer RNA (tRNA) molecules are approximately 80 nucleotides in length. Their secondary structure includes four short double-helical elements and three loops (D, anti-codon, and T loops).
Source: Rfam by way of RNAcentral